RNAcentral lists this transfer RNA (72 nucleotides) under Dehalococcoidales bacterium. RNAcentral describes it as "tRNA-Ile". It matches the Rfam family "tRNA". Rfam says of the family: Transfer RNA (tRNA) molecules are approximately 80 nucleotides in length. Their secondary structure includes four short double-helical elements and three loops (D, anti-codon, and T loops). Further hydrogen bonds mediate the characteristic L-shaped molecular structure. tRNAs have two regions of fundamental functional importance: the anti-codon, which is responsible for specific mRNA codon recognition, and the 3' end, to which the tRNAs corresponding amino acid is attached (by aminoacyl-tRNA synthetases). tRNAs cope with the degeneracy of the genetic code in two manners: having more than one tRNA (with a specific anti-codon) for a particular amino acid; and 'wobble' base-pairing, i.e. permitting non-standard base-pairing at the 3rd anti-codon position. RNAcentral also lists the same sequence under 1 other name. Lineage: Bacteria; Bacillati; Chloroflexota; Dehalococcoidia; Dehalococcoidales. The record is from RNAcentral.
GGGCUCGUAGCUCAGUGGCAGAGCGGGCGGCUCAUAACCGUCUGGUCGUAGGUUCGAAUCCUGCCGAGCCCA